UGGGGAAUAUUGGACAAUGGGGGGAACCCUGAUCCAGCCAUGCCGCGUGUGUGAAGAAGGCCUUAUGGUUGUAAAGCACUUUAAGCGAGGAGGAGGGUACUGGUAUUAAUACUACCAGCUACUGGACGUUACUCGCAGAAUAAGCACCGGCUAACUCUGUGCCAGCAGCCGCGGUAAUACAGAGGGUGCGAGCGUUAAUCGGAUUUACUGGGCGUAAAGCGUGCGUAGGCGGCUAAUUGAGUCGGAUGUGAAAUCCCCGAGCUUAACUUAGGAAUUGCAUUCGAUACUGGUCAGCUAGAGUAUGGGAGAGGAUGGUAGAAUUCCAGGUGUAGCGGUGAAAUGCGUAGAGAUCUGGAGGAAUACCGAUGGCGAAGGCAGCCAUCUGGCCUAAUACUGACGCUGAGGUACGAAAGCAUGGGGAGCAAACAGG
This 430-nucleotide ribosomal RNA is filed under the name Pseudomonadota bacterium. Its description in RNAcentral is "Proteobacteria bacterium partial 16S ribosomal RNA". It matches the Rfam family "Bacterial small subunit ribosomal RNA", at positions 355 to 776 of the family's 1533-position model. The record is from RNAcentral. Lineage: Bacteria; Pseudomonadati; Pseudomonadota.